Molecule: long non-coding RNA, 272 nt
Organism: Vigna unguiculata (cowpea)
Lineage: Eukaryota; Viridiplantae; Streptophyta; Magnoliopsida; Fabales; Fabaceae
Source: RefSeq, a predicted model, not a curated record
UGGUGGCAAAUUAGGUGUCACUCUCGGUUUAUCUGCUCUAGAAGCUAUAGAAGCUGGGAAAUUGAAGCUUAGACUUGGAGAAAAACCUAAGUGUGUAUACCUCAAUUCGAAGAUAGUUUUCUGCAGGAAAGAGGCCAGGGAAGAUUGUGGCAAGCGAGAGCACCAUCAACCAAAUCAAAUUGAACACCGUCAUUCUCAAAUUGGUGUGAUGGUAGAAGAGUUGGUGCAGCUGAAGUGGCUACGCAGAUAUCUGAGAGUUUGGCAUUCAAGUA